Molecule: long non-coding RNA, 1609 nt
Filed under: Brassica napus (rape)
Lineage: Eukaryota; Viridiplantae; Streptophyta; Magnoliopsida; Brassicales; Brassicaceae
Description: long non-coding RNA (BNAP_LNC014240)
Source: RNAcentral
UUUAUCCUACUGUCGGUUUCUCAAAAUUGAAGAAUAAGGCGAUCUACCGACGGACGACCUUAGUUUGAUGCUCAUCGGUAAAUUACCUGUAAGUUAGAUAUGUUUCCCUUAAUUCUCUGUGAUAUCUAUAUUGUUAAGUUUAAAUGCUUAUGAAGAUCAAAAAUAAGACAGAUCUAACUUCUUUUCUUUUUCAAUCUGUUUGGCAGGUUGUAACCGAUUACUUUCUUUCUUCCAAUAAGAUAGAACGUGUUGUGAUGACUUCAAAGAGAGUAAAAACGGAUUCAAAGUUUAAGCCGUAAAAAUUCAGAUGGACACCGAAACUCGAAAGGUAUAUUUUAAAUGCAUGUGUUAAAAUUGUAGCUCCAUUAUACAUACGAAAGUAUUUUUACAAUUAAAACUUCCUAAAUAUUUUUUAAAAAAGCAAAAUAAUAUUUUUCUACCAUAAAGUUUUAUUCUUUGUAAUUUUUAAUAUAAACAUUUUGUUUUUAAAUUAUAAUAUUUUGUUUUCAUUUAUUUUUGUUUUCAUUUAUUUUUAUAUAAACAUUUUGUUUUCAAUUCUAAAUUGGUAUAUAUUAUAAUAUAUAUGUGUCUAUCAAUUUUUAAAUUACAAUAAGUUUACGGUAUAUUUUUUUCAUUGAAUAGAUUGUUUCAGACUUUCACAUGUAUUUGUAUCUUCUUCUAUAUAUAUAUUUUCGGAUUAUUAUUUCAUUAUUAAAAUCGUAAAUAUAUAUAUAAAGAUUAGUAAAAUAUUGUUUUAUUGUCAUAUUCAAAAAUAUUGUUUUAUUGCCAUAUUCAAAAAUAUUGUAACAUUGCACAAAUUUAGAACGUUUUUAAAAAAUUAAACUUUUCGCAUCAUAGAUUUAUAUUAUCGAGUAAAUAAUUAAACAUUUAGUUUUUGUUUAAUUUUUAAAAUAAAUUAUAUAGUUUAAAAUUUGUUUUCAUUGGUUUAAGGUAGUAAAGAUUAAUCAUUGUUAGAUAAUAUGAUUUUUGUUAUUUAAAAAAAAUCUUUAUAAUUUUAAAAGUUAACACCGACAAAUAUUUAAAUAAUUAACAUAUGGAGGUAUAGUAUUACAACAUUAAAUUAUAUCUAUUUAAUCUAUACUAUCUAUAAAUUCAAUAAAUCAUCUAUUGUUUAAAUCCAAUUAUUGAUUGCCCCAUAAAAAUUUCUGGUAGGCGUAAAAUUUAAAUUAUAAGAUUAGAGAUUAAAUGUAACAUGACUUUUUAUGAAUAUGUCCAUUAGGUCCAUUUUAAAAAAAAAUCACACAUGAAUCAAGGUUGUGACUUAUGUUUUAAUAUAUAAGAUUUGUAUCAGGUUAUUAUUACUGUAAUUUUUUUAUAUUCUUUAAAUAUUGAGAAAUAAUUAUACUCAAAGAUCUCAUAUUACGCUGUGAAAUACAAAGAAUCAAUAGGAGAUAAGAUAAGUGUUCUUCUUAAUACCAUCGUACUAUACAAUUUAAUUGUUUCCUUCUGUUUCCUGUCAGUAAUAAUAAACUAUUGCAACAACAGAAGUCACCACUUUUGUUUUUUUAUUUUAUAGAUUUCAUAUACACGUAAGGAAAAUCAUAUAAGGAGAUUCAGAUGGAAUGAGACCGUUUUUAGCGUAUAUCAG